CGAUGAACCUCACUUGUGGGGGGAUUAGUGGCGAACGGGUGAGUAACACGUGAGUAACCUGCCCUUGACUCUGGGAUAAGCCUGGGAAACCGGGUCUAAUACUGGAUACGACCUUCUGGCGCAUGCCAUGUUGGUGGAAAGCUUUUGUGGUUUUGGAUGGACUCGCGGCCUAUCAGCUUGUUGGUGGGGUAAUGGCCUACCAAGGCGACGACGGGUAGCCGGCCUGAGAGGGUGACCGGCCACACUGGGACUGAGACACGGCCCAGACUCCUACGGGAGGCAGCAGUGGGGAAUAUUGCACAAUGGGCGCAAGCCUGAUGCAGCGACGCCGCGUGAGGGAUGAAGGCCUUCGGGUUGUAAACCUCUUUCAGUAGGGAAGAAGCCGAUCUUCUGGGUUGGUGACGGUACCUGCAGAAGAAGCGCCGGCUAACUACGUGCCAGCAGCCGCGGUAAUACGUAGGGCGCAAGCGUUAUCCGGAAUUAUUGGGCGUAAAGAGCUCGUAGGCGGUUUGUCGCGUCUGCCGUGAAAGUCCGGGGCUUAACCCCGGAUCUGCGGUGGGUACGGGCAGACUAGAGUGCAGUAGGGGAGACUGGAAUUCCUGGUGUAGCGGUGAAAUGC
Molecule: ribosomal RNA, 619 nt
Filed under: Arthrobacter sp.
Lineage: Bacteria; Bacillati; Actinomycetota; Actinomycetes; Micrococcales; Micrococcaceae
Description: bacterial SSU rRNA
Rfam family: Bacterial small subunit ribosomal RNA
Source: RNAcentral